GGGGAUAUAGCUCAGUGGUAAGCGCAUGCACGAGGUCCUGGGUUCAAUCCUCAGUACCUCCA
This 62-nucleotide transfer RNA is filed under the name Camelus dromedarius (Arabian camel). It matches the Rfam family "tRNA". From Rfam's summary of the family: Transfer RNA (tRNA) molecules are approximately 80 nucleotides in length. Their secondary structure includes four short double-helical elements and three loops (D, anti-codon, and T loops). Lineage: Eukaryota; Metazoa; Chordata; Mammalia; Artiodactyla; Camelidae. The record is from Rfam by way of RNAcentral. RNAcentral also lists the same sequence under 1 other name.